UUGUGCCUACGGGGGGCAGCAGUGAGGAAUAUUGGUCAAUGGGUGGAAGCCUGAACCAGCCAAGUCGCGUGAGGGAAUAAGGCCCUACGGGUCGUAAACCUCUUUUGCCGGGGAGCAAGGGCGGGGACGUGUCCCGGCCCGGAGAGUACCCGGAGAAAAAGCAUCGGCUAACUCCGUGCCAGCAGCCGCGGUAAUACGGAGGAUGCGAGCGUUAUCCGGAUUUAUUGGGUUUAAAGGGUGCGCAGGCGGGCUGUUAAGCCGGCGGUAAAAAUUCAGGGCUCAACCCUGUCGAGCCGUCGGAACUG
This 305-nucleotide ribosomal RNA is filed under the name uncultured bacterium. Its description in RNAcentral is "bacterial SSU rRNA". It matches the Rfam family "Bacterial small subunit ribosomal RNA", at positions 333 to 635 of the family's 1533-position model. The record is from RNAcentral.